Molecule: non-coding RNA, 335 nt
Organism: Otolemur garnettii (small-eared galago)
Lineage: Eukaryota; Metazoa; Chordata; Mammalia; Primates; Galagidae
Source: Rfam
AUAUGGCAAAAGAGAAGAAGCUCUGCUAGCUGUUCUUUCCCUUCUUACCCUUACAUACUUCAUCUGGGAGACUUUACAUAUGUGAUAUUUAUGAUCUUGUUAGACUGGUAAUUACAAAGUGCCCUAGGAGGCUAGGAGGACUGACCAAGAGAGAAGGGAAAGCAUUUUGUUCUGACCAUAAUGACAUAAGGAGUUCAUUUCACACCAAACAUCUUUCCAGCAUGUUUCUCCCAUUGAGAAACAUCCUAGCAUUUAAGGCCUCUUAAUGUAAGAUAAGCCGGGUACUAUCUCUUUUACUUCUCUCUCUACUAUCUUCUUUGUGUUCUGUUUUCCUA